This is a long non-coding RNA of Lolium perenne, 1234 nucleotides long. RefSeq lists it as uncharacterized. The record is from RefSeq and is a predicted model, not a curated record. NCBI's taxonomy places the organism in Eukaryota, Viridiplantae, Streptophyta, Magnoliopsida, Poales, Poaceae.
UCCUCCGACGGCCGCGCCGCUCCGCUCACCACCGCCUCCGCCUGCUCCAUCUCGCUCUUCUCCUCUUCUUCUUAUCCUCCCACAUCUCUCCGACGAGGGCGCGUGCGGUCCUUCCGCCGCGUACUGGCGAACAAGCGAGCCUACGCCGCCGCGCACGGAUAAGGCCUUGCCUUCCUCACCGCGGCCGCAGUCGACCCCCGCUCCACCACUGUCUCAUCUGGAACCAUGCGGAAUGUUUAUGUGGUUCAUAAUUUUUAUGUAAUGAAGGAGUGCUUGGCAUGGCAAUUUCAACGCAUCGCCUGAUCUCAUUCUGCCGGAGGACUUAAAUGGUGUGAAGGCAGGUUUUGUUAGCUGUUCGGAGUUUGCUGCAGCUGACUCAACGAUGAUAUAUAUGUUUCAGCGCAAGAAAGAAUGAUGUUAUAUAUUUUUCAGUGCAAAAGAUUGAUGUUAUAUAUUUUGGGAAGUUUAGUUGGACGAAUCAUGGGUGGACGUGUUGGAUGAGUUGACAUUCCAUGAUGAGAAAAGAGAGUAGUAUGUUCUGGAAUUCAAAAUCCUCUCGAAAAAAUUCCAGAUCACAUUGAAGAAGUUUAAUCAGCAAAUCAGAGGAGAAGGAAGAAGCAAAUUAGUCAGCUGCAAGGUGAUACAGGAAUGGUGGAAGAUAACAAAGGGAAUGUGGAGACAAGUGGUUUAGAGUUGUGCUCAGUGGAAAAUUUUACUGAAGGAAGAAGGAAGAGAAGAGCUGAAUCUGUUGUUGAGCAAGUUGGAGAUGUUGGUUCGGCUGCCGCCGGCUGCUGUCGUGGCCGGAGCCUGGCUGACACCUCAGAAGAAGGUGAGAUCAACUCUGGAGGUUUGCGACAUGAACAGUACAAGGGGUUUUGGCCCGAUGUUGAUUACAGAUGAAGAUCUGGUGAGGAUCCUGGAGGCAAAUGAUCUGAUCCUGGUGGGUGACGGAGCAGGCUUCAAAGUCCUGAAGCGUCCCUGAACAAGUUAGCCUGGGGGUUUGGUGCUGAUGGUUUUUAGAUGUUGUUUCCAUCUAGCCCUUUGAUGCUUUGUCAGAAAACUUCUAGUUGUUUGGUCUGUAGCUUAAAAUUGGUAUGUGUGUUUGUGUGAGUGCUGGUGGUCUGUAAAGAAUACUCUAGUGUUGUUUUUGUGCCUGAGGUUUCAGUAAAAUGGAGCCGGGGUUUGGAGCCCUGUUCUUCUAAAAAACAAACAGUCCUAUCAAUACAUGCCCUAA